CCGCCCCUCGUCGAGAUGGACGAACGACACCGCGUAGAGCGCGGUCAGGACGGUGAACUCGCGGACGUUGUCGGGGAUCCGGUCCCGGUGGCGGG
This 95-nucleotide transfer RNA is filed under the name Streptomyces collinus. Its description in RNAcentral is "tRNA-Ser". The record is from RNAcentral. Lineage: Bacteria; Bacillati; Actinomycetota; Actinomycetes; Kitasatosporales; Streptomycetaceae. RNAcentral also lists the same sequence under 1 other name.